Molecule: ribosomal RNA, 245 nt
Filed under: uncultured Streptococcus sp.
Lineage: Bacteria; Bacillati; Bacillota; Bacilli; Lactobacillales; Streptococcaceae
Description: partial 16S ribosomal RNA
Rfam family: Bacterial small subunit ribosomal RNA
Source: RNAcentral
ACUCUAGCGAGACUGCCGGUAUAAACCGGAGGAAGGUGGGGAUGACGUCAAAUCAUCAUGCCCCUUAUGACCUGGGCUACACACGUGCUACAAUGGUUGGUACAACGAGUUGCGAGUCGGUGACGGCGAGCUAAUCUCUUAAAGCCAAUCUCAGUUCGGAUUGUAGGCUGCAACUCGCCUACAUGAAGUCGGAAUCGCUAGUAAUCGCGGAUCAGCACGCCGCGGUGAAUACGUUCCCGGGCCUU